GUUAAGGUGGCAGAGCCCGGUAAUUGCGUAAAACUUAAAACUUUAUAACCAGAGGUUCAACUCCUCUCCUUAACA
Non-coding RNA from Oryctolagus cuniculus (rabbit), 75 nucleotides. Lineage: Eukaryota; Metazoa; Chordata; Mammalia; Lagomorpha; Leporidae. The record is from Ensembl.